GAUCCUGGCUCAGGAUGAACGCUAGCGACAGGCUUAACACAUGCAAGUCGAGGGGCAGCGAGGGAGUGGCAACACUUCUGUCGGCGACCGGCGCACGGGUGAGUAACGCGUAUGCAACCUGCCCUUCACAGGGGGGAUAACCGGGAGAAAUUCCGACUAAUACCGCAUACGUCCUCCGGGGGCAUCCCCGGGGGAUGAAAGAAUUAUCGGUGAAGGAUGGGCAUGCGUGAUAUUAGGUAGUUGGCGGGGCAACGG
This 255-nucleotide ribosomal RNA is filed under the name uncultured bacterium. RNAcentral's name for it is "partial 16S ribosomal RNA". It matches the Rfam family "Bacterial small subunit ribosomal RNA", at positions 15 to 263 of the family's 1533-position model. The record is from RNAcentral.